UGGGGAAUUUUGCGCAAUGGGGGAAACCCUGACGCAGCAACGCCGCGUGGAGGAUGAAGUAUCUUGGUACGUAAACUCCUUUCGACCGGGACGAUAAUGACGGUACCGGAAGAAGAAGCCCCGGCUAACUUCGUGCCAGCAGCCGCGGUAAUACGAGGGGGGCAAGCGUUGUUCGGAAUUAUUGGGCGUAAAGGGUGCGUAGGCGGCCCCGCAAGUCUUGUGUGAAAUCUCUGGGCUCAACUCAGAGUCUGCACAGGAAACUGCUGGGCUGGAGUAUGGGAGAGGUGAGUGGAAUUCCCGGUGUAGCGGUGAAAAUGCGUAGAUAUCGGGAGAACACCUGUGGCGAAAGCGGCUCACUUGGACCAUAACUGACGCUGAGGCACGAAAGCUAGGGGAGCAAACA
This 403-nucleotide ribosomal RNA is filed under the name uncultured Acidobacteriota bacterium. RNAcentral describes it as "bacterial SSU rRNA". It matches the Rfam family "Bacterial small subunit ribosomal RNA", at positions 355 to 774 of the family's 1533-position model. Lineage: Bacteria; Pseudomonadati; Acidobacteriota. The record is from RNAcentral.